GUGUUUUUGUAGCUGAACGGUUAUUGAUCGGUGUGCAUAUUUAAGGAUGAGGUCCUUCUGUCUCCUGUCACCUCAGCAUUCUCCCCAAAGCAGGUGCCCGAGGCCCCAGUGGAUAGUAUGCUAGGGCGGGGCUGACUCAGAAAGGGGAAAGACACUAAAGUGACACUGUUGUCUGCAUUUCGUUUGACAGUUUGAUUUGACAGUUUGAGAGACACUUCAGAGUUCUGUUCUCUCCCCAGUUGAGACUAUGGGAGAUCCUGAAGCGCAUCCCGGUACUCAGCACGCUGUGCUCAUGACAGCCACACCUAACUUUCAGCCUCUCUUCCAGCUGCAUGCUUUGUCUCAGCCUCAGGCCUCAGCUUCCUGCUGGUACUGCGGGUCCUCUGAACCCACUGACCUCCUGGCCAGCCCAGCCCAGCACGCCUUUGGGGAGCUCUGUGCUAGACUUAGCGUGUCAGGAGCGGGACGGCAGCUCUGUUUACAUAGGCGAAGGGCAUCUUCCUGCAAGUGAAAGCAGGGGAUGAGUAUCUCCAUGAGGUUUCAGGGCUUUGUCCAGAGCUGCCGUUUUAUCUAGCCUCCAGGAUAACGACACGAUCAUAUCAGAAAGAGUUUCAGAGAGGCUGAUCGCUCUGGGUCGCACUUCAGCUUUUACUGAGUUUCCAGCACAAUGCUUAGUGAGCUGAUGAAGGGCAGUGUAUUCCCCAGGUGGCUUCUUUUUUCCCAGUGAGGGACUGGGAAAAAAAACCUCAGAAACCAGAAGGGGGCCAUCUUGUGGCAGAGAAGGGAAUGACAAGAAAGCCAGAAAGACACCUCCUUCCUUGCUCUUACAGAGGGAGAAAUGUUAGUCAAAGGGUAAUUUUUUUCCACCCAGAGGCUCUUUGCUUACUUUGGGGGGAUGGACGGGGACUUGGGGUUCUUUCCUUAUUUAAGACAGACAAGACUGUUAAUCGUGUCGCUUCUGUUGAAAGUAAGUCUAGUUUCUGUCCCUGCUUCUCUCCCCUCCUGCCUCUCCCGCUGCUGCAUUGCUCCCCCUGACUAGGUCCAAGGCCAUGGUACGUACUAACUGCACCGCGAGCGACCUUCCCUCUGCCGUGCAUGCUCUGCUCGUGUUCUCUUGGCCAGAAGAGAAGAGGGGAAAUAAUCGGGCUGUGUGGUUCUCCUUUACUGGGAGGAAGUCCGUGGUAGGAAUGAGUGUUUGCUCUAUCUCUUGAGAGUGUUGCUGGGGUGGAGUGG
This 1233-nucleotide long non-coding RNA is filed under the name Rattus norvegicus (Norway rat). RNAcentral describes it as "long non-coding RNA NONRATT016531". The record is from RNAcentral. Lineage: Eukaryota; Metazoa; Chordata; Mammalia; Rodentia; Muridae.